UGGGGAAUAUUGGACAAUGGGGGAAACCCUGAUCCAGCAAUGCCGCGUGAGUGAAGAAGGCCUUAGGGUUGUAAAGCUCUUUCGCCCGCGAAGAUAAUGACGGUAGCGGGAGAAGAAGCCCCGGCUAACUCCGUGCCAGCAGCCGCGGUGAUACGGAGGGGGCUAGCGUUGUUCGGAAUUACUGGGCGUAAAGCGUACGUAGGCGGAUGCGCAAGUUGGGGGUGAAAUCCCGGGGCUUAACCUCGGAAUUGCCCUCAAAACUGCACGUCUUGAGACCGAGAGAGGUAAGGGGAAUUCCUAGUGUAGAGGUGAAAUUCGUAGAUAUUAGGAAGAACACCAGUGGCGAAGGCGCCUUACUGGCUCGGUACUGACGCUGAGGUACGAAAGCGUGGGGAGCAAAC
Molecule: ribosomal RNA, 401 nt
Filed under: uncultured bacterium
Lineage: Bacteria
Description: bacterial SSU rRNA
Rfam family: Bacterial small subunit ribosomal RNA
Source: RNAcentral